UUUUUAAUGAGUUAUAAUCAUUACCCUAAAAUUUCAGAAGAAUUUGUUUUCUUUAAUUUUUUUUUUAAUGACAAUUGGAUGUUUGCCAAUAUCUUAUUGAGCUUUGCUCAUAUUUUUUUUUACUAAAUAAAUACUCAGAUUCUUUAAAUUGCUGAAAGGAUCUUCUAAUAAUUUUUUUUUUUAACAUUUUCUUUCUCACUAUAGUUUUUCUUUUUUCUUCUCCAAACAAAGGCCAGUGAUAGAGCCACAAUGUUUAAGAGAUUCGCAGAUAGAAUGAAAGUCGUGAGAGUCUCCUCUUUGAGGUCAGCCCCGGGAGCUAUAGGCUAGAUAUUAACGAAACUUACUGCUAUACAGGCAAAAAAAGAGUAAUUGAAAGAUUACUUGUUUGAAAUGACAAAGCAAUUGAUUUUUUGUUUUCCACUGGGCAAGGAG
This 432-nucleotide long non-coding RNA is filed under the name Phoenix dactylifera (date palm). RNAcentral describes it as "long non-coding RNA (PDAC_LNC003611)". Lineage: Eukaryota; Viridiplantae; Streptophyta; Magnoliopsida; Arecales; Arecaceae. The record is from RNAcentral.